GAAAAUUUAGUUUAAUUAAAACAUUAAUUUGUCAAAUUGAAAAAACCUGAAGUAAUUUUCU
This 61-nucleotide transfer RNA is filed under the name Hylica paradoxa. RNAcentral's name for it is "tRNA-Asp". The record is from RNAcentral. Lineage: Eukaryota; Metazoa; Arthropoda; Insecta; Hemiptera; Cicadellidae.